This 465-nucleotide ribosomal RNA is filed under the name Vreelandella stevensii. Its description in RNAcentral is "partial 16S ribosomal RNA". It matches the Rfam family "Bacterial small subunit ribosomal RNA", at positions 338 to 795 of the family's 1533-position model. Lineage: Bacteria; Pseudomonadati; Pseudomonadota; Gammaproteobacteria; Oceanospirillales; Halomonadaceae. The record is from RNAcentral.
CCUACGGGUGGCUGCAGUGGGGAAUAUUGGACAAUGGGGGGAACCCUGAUCCAGCCAUGCCGCGUGUGUGAAGAAGGCCCUCGGGUUGUAAAGCACUUUCAGUGAGGAAGAACGCCUGGUGGUUAAUACCCAUCAGGAAAGACAUCACUCACAGAAGAGGCACCGGCUAACUCCGUGCCAGCAGCCGCGGUAAUACGGAGGGUGCGAGCGUUAAUCGGAAUUACUGGGCGUAAAGCGCGCGUAGGUGGCUUGAUAAGCCGGUUGUGAAAGCCCCGGGCUCAACCUGGGAACGGCAUCCGGAACUGUUAAGCUAGAGUGCAGGAGAGGAAGGUAGAAUUCCCGGUGUAGCGGUGAAAUGCGUAGAGAUCGGGAGGAAUACCAGUGGCGAAGGCGGCCUUCUGGACUGACACUGACACUGAGGUGCGAAAGCGUGGGUAGCAAACAGGAUUAGAUACCCCUGUAGUC